UACGUAGGAGGCAAACGUUGUCCGGAUUUACUGGGUGUAAAGGGUGCUCAGGCGGUCUUGUAAGUUAGAAGUGAAAUCUCCCGACUUAAUCGGGAAACUGCUUUUAAUACUGCAGGGCUUGAGUGCAGAAGAGGCGGAUGGAAUUUCUGGUGUAGCAGUGAAAUGCGUAGAUAUCAGAAAGAACACCAGUGGCGAAGGCGGUCCGCUGGUCUGUCACUGACGCUAAAGCACGAAAGCGUGGGGAGCAAACAGG
This 253-nucleotide ribosomal RNA is filed under the name uncultured bacterium. RNAcentral's name for it is "partial 16S ribosomal RNA". It matches the Rfam family "Bacterial small subunit ribosomal RNA", at positions 524 to 776 of the family's 1533-position model. The record is from RNAcentral.